AAAGAUCAUGUAAUCAGAUGGGGUAUAAGACAAAUUUUAGACUAAUCUUAGGGAUCAAAUUUUUAAACAGUAAUGGAAAAACAGAAAAUGAUCCCAUUGGAAGAUGCACAGCAUUACCUUGUUUUUCUUCCUAGAAACUUCAGAGCAAUCCAUUUGGGAGAAUGGAAACAGUCUGAGUGUCCCAAUCAAGGCAUUUCUCAAUGCAAUACUUCAGGGAUGUCAGUACACUGGCUCAGAGUAAUGGAGUCAGCAGACCCUGGACUGAGACCUCUGAAACUGCACUGAGGUGAGUGUUGGAAUGAUGAGACGCAAGGCUGGCCAAGGACAAGCGUGGACAAUAGUAGAGACAAGAAUGAAAACAGCUCUUGGAAAAUGAAAGACAACUUUAAGUACAAGGAUUGGAAAACAUUGAAGCAAACAAAUCCUGCGCUUACUUUUACAGAAGAUCAACACAAGAUCAAUAGCAGUAAUAAUACCACCAUGUGAUCAUUUGUCCAAACCAAAACCUUCCACAGCAUCCUAAAUAAUUCACCUGUGACUCUCCGUG
Ictidomys tridecemlineatus (thirteen-lined ground squirrel) is the source of this 547-nucleotide non-coding RNA. The record is from RefSeq and is a predicted model, not a curated record. Lineage: Eukaryota; Metazoa; Chordata; Mammalia; Rodentia; Sciuridae.